This 393-nucleotide long non-coding RNA is filed under the name Rosa chinensis. RNAcentral's name for it is "sRNA RchiOBHm_Chr1g0342411". Lineage: Eukaryota; Viridiplantae; Streptophyta; Magnoliopsida; Rosales; Rosaceae. The record is from RNAcentral.
AUGAUUCUAAUAAUGUAUAAUGUGUUGUUGAUAUCAAGUGGUAGUGCCAAGAAGAGAACUGCAUUGCUGGUUGUUGCCCACCCAGAUGAUGAGUCCAUGUAAGCAUAGCUUUACAAAUUCCUUUAUCAUGUUUCAAGUCCAAUUGGCUUUAGUUGUGGCUGACUUCAGCUGAGUUUCUUUUUAGUGUAAUUUAUGUUGUGGAUCUUGAAUGAUGGGAUGGUAUGAAGGAGAAUUUCUCUUCAUCGUAUAAACAUCAGAUUGCCUCUUAUGAUGCCCUUUGAUUUUGAUGUCUGCAUAUAUUUUCAAAAUUGAUUGUUAUCCUUGAUGAUUAACAUCUGAGAAAAGUUCAAAGCCUGUUGCAGAAACUGCCGUGUGUGUGUGUGUGUGUGUGAG